RNAcentral lists this ribosomal RNA (165 nucleotides) under Streptococcus suis. Its description in RNAcentral is "partial 16S ribosomal RNA". It matches the Rfam family "Bacterial small subunit ribosomal RNA", at positions 1316 to 1479 of the family's 1533-position model. The record is from RNAcentral. Lineage: Bacteria; Bacillati; Bacillota; Bacilli; Lactobacillales; Streptococcaceae.
CUACAUGAAGUCGGAAUCGCUAGUAAUCGCGGAUCAGCACGCCGCGGUGAAUACGUUCCCGGGCCUUGUACACACCGCCCGUCACACCACGAGAGUUUGUAACACCCGAAGUCGGUGAGGUAACCUUUUAGGAGCCAGCCGCCUAAGGUGGGAUAGAUGAUUGGG